GGCCACCUGGUGCUUACCACAGGCAGAGUUCUCAACACUGACUGUAUAGAAGAAGGAGGCAAAGUAAGUCCCCCAUAUGCACCUCAGCCCAGGCCUUGUGCCUUAUGUGUCUUGUGAAUGGGAAAUGG
Molecule: small nucleolar RNA, 128 nt
Organism: Fukomys damarensis (Damara mole-rat)
Lineage: Eukaryota; Metazoa; Chordata; Mammalia; Rodentia; Bathyergidae
Source: Ensembl